UCUCAUAACGGUUAAAUAUGUGUUGUUAUAAAUAUUUCGGACAUGUAACUAAUCUAAAUCUAUCAACACAUAAUAGAUAAACAUUAUAAAAAGGAAAACUUAAAAAUAUAGUGUUGUGCUUUUAACAUCAGUACUAAACUCUAAUAACUAUAAAUUUCUUCAGACCUUUUUUCUGUCUCUUGGAUUUUUGUCUCUCGCCUGCUCCCUGAAGGGAACCGCGCCACAUCGGACCUCCUGGAUCUCRAUCCCUGAACGCAUCUCUGKACCAACAACUCMGUCAUCUCCUUCAAACCUGGUAACUUCCUCUGACCACCUGUGUAUGACCCUUGCCCCGUUUCUGACCUCGAGUAAGUCCAGCGACAUUAUCACUCCUCGACAACACAGCCCGGAACCAAAACACAUCAGCUGUUGUUUCAACCCGGACUUCAACUCAGCAGCAAAUAACUGACGACCCCGGAGUCCGGUCCCAACCUUCCAGCCAAAAUUACUAACAAUAAACUUGUUAAAACUUUGA
This is a long non-coding RNA of Austrofundulus limnaeus, 514 nucleotides long. RefSeq lists it as uncharacterized. The record is from RefSeq and is a predicted model, not a curated record. NCBI's taxonomy places the organism in Eukaryota, Metazoa, Chordata, Actinopteri, Cyprinodontiformes, Rivulidae. The transcript is spliced from 2 exons.